This 913-nucleotide ribosomal RNA is filed under the name uncultured marine archaeon. Its description in RNAcentral is "bacterial SSU rRNA". It matches the Rfam family "Archaeal small subunit ribosomal RNA", at positions 1 to 921 of the family's 1478-position model. The record is from RNAcentral.
UUCCGGUUGAUCCUGCCGGACCUGACUGCUAUCGGAUUGAUACUAAGCCAUGCGAGUCUUUGCAGUAAUGCAAGGCAUACGGCUCAGUAACACGUAGUCAACUUACCCUAUGGACGAGGAUAAUCUCGGGAAACUGAGCAUAAUACUCGAUAGAUCAUAAUGCCUGGAAUGGUUUAUGGUUAAAAUGAUUCGUCGCCAUAGGAUGGGACUGCGGCCUAUCAGCUUGUUGGUGAGGUAAUGGCCCACCAAGGCGAUUACAGGUACGGGCUCUGAGAGGAGAAGCCCGGAGAUGGGUACUGAGACAAGGACCCAGGCCCUAUGGGGCGCAGCAGGCGAGAAAACUUUGCAAUGUGCGAAAGCACGACAAGGUUAAUCCGAGUGAUUUCUGCUAAAGAAAUCUUUUGCAAGUCAUAAAACCACUAGUGAAUAAGGGGUGGGCAAGUUCUGGUGUCAGCCGCCGCGGUAAAACCAGCACCUCAAGUGGUCAGGAGGAUUAUUGGGCCUAAAGCAUCCGUAGCCGGCUCUGUAAGUUUUCGGUUAAAUCCAUGUGCUCAACACAUGGGCUGCCGAAAAUACUGCAUAGCUAGGGAGUGGGAGAGGUAGACGGUACUCGGUAGGAAGGGGUAAAAUCCUUUGAUCUAUCGAUGACCACCUGUGGCGAAGGCGGUCUACCAGAACACGUUCGACGGUGAGGGAUGAAAGCUGGGGGAGCAAACCGGAUUAGAUACCCGGGUAGUCCCAGCUGUAAACGAUGCAGACUCGAUGAUGCAUUGGCAUAUAGCCAGUGCAGUGUCGCAGGGAAGCCGUUAAGUCUGCCGCCUGGGAAGUACGUACGCAAGUAUGAAACUUAAAGGAAUUGGCGGGGGAGCACCACAAGGGGUGAAGCCUGCGGUUCAAUUGGAUUCAACGCCGG